Molecule: long non-coding RNA, 641 nt
Filed under: Homo sapiens (human)
Lineage: Eukaryota; Metazoa; Chordata; Mammalia; Primates; Hominidae
Description: non-protein coding lnc-MDFIC2-2:3
Source: RNAcentral
UGGAAGUCAGCGGUGGGUCUGCGAAAGCGCAAACAGGAGUGGUGGACAGCAAGUGAAAGCUCACCUCGAGCCGUAAGGAACACGGAACAAAAGAGAGUGCAGUUGCAAGAUUUAAUAGAGUGAAGACAGAGCUCCCAUACAAAAAGAGAGGACCCAAAGAGGUCAUCAGUUAGAUGAAUAUGUAUUUGAAAGCUGUUCAUUCAUUGUGGAGAUGUGGGUAGACAGCAGUAAAUAUGCCCCAUGGCACUGAUUAACUCAAAGUGGCUCCAGGCCAAAGAUUUUAUGCUUCAGUGGAGAUAUUUUUGCCAGGUGUCUCAUUCUAUAAACUCAAUGGCUAUUGAGUUAAUCUUCAAGUUAUUUUCCUACGGGCCCUUUUAAGAGAAGGUUGGAAAGAAUGAACCAUGUUUACCAGAGAUGUUUCCCAAGAUGGACAACAGACUGACCAUGUUGAUUCAGAACUAAGUACUAAUAAAAAGGAGUUUAAUAAGAAGUCUAAUAGAAAUCAAAUUGUAUUUAUCAACUUUAAUUCUAUUUUAAUGCACGAGUCCUAACAGCCAAACGACUAAUAUGCUGACAUUUCUUAAUUCAUUUUUUCUGACUGUGCUCCCAAAAGGUGUGUGAAAAUGCAGUUUAUAAAUUAA